AUGAGACGUUGCCCUUCGGGGUAUACCUCCCACCCUUUGUUUAUUAUACCUUUGUUGCUUUGGCGGGCCCGUCCUCGGACCACCGGCUUCUGCUGGUCAGUGCCCGCCAGAGGACCUAAAACUCUGUUUGUUAAUAUUGUCUGAGUACUAUAUAAUAGUUA
Molecule: unclassified non-coding RNA, 161 nt
Filed under: soil metagenome
Description: partial internal transcribed spacer 1
Source: RNAcentral